AUUGAACGCUGGCGGCAGGCCUAACACAUGCAAGUCGAACGAGUGGCGGACGGGUGAGUAAUGUAUGGGGAACUGCCUGAUGGAGGGGGAUAACUACUGGAAACGGUAGCUAAUACCGCAUACCAUCGGAUGACCCCAUAUGGGAUUAGCUAGUUGGUGGGGUAAAGGCUCACCAAGGCGACGAUCCCUAGCUGGUCUGAGAGGAUGAUCAGCCACACUGGAACUGAGACACGGCCCAGACUCCUACGGGAGGCAGCAGUGGGGAAUAUUGCACAAUGGGCGCAAGCCUGAUGCAGCCAUGCCGCGUGUAUGAAGAAGGCCUUAGGGUUGUAAAGUACUUUCAGCGGGGAGGCGUUACCCGCAGAAGAAGCACCGGCUAACUCCGUGCCAGCAGCCGCGGUAAUUC
Molecule: ribosomal RNA, 406 nt
Filed under: uncultured bacterium
Lineage: Bacteria
Description: partial 16S ribosomal RNA
Rfam family: Bacterial small subunit ribosomal RNA
Source: RNAcentral